RNAcentral lists this ribosomal RNA (1618 nucleotides) under Enterobacter hormaechei. Its description in RNAcentral is "partial 23S ribosomal RNA". It matches the Rfam family "Bacterial large subunit ribosomal RNA", at positions 1202 to 2800 of the family's 2925-position model. The record is from RNAcentral. Lineage: Bacteria; Pseudomonadati; Pseudomonadota; Gammaproteobacteria; Enterobacterales; Enterobacteriaceae.
GCGGCAGCGACACUAUGUGUUGUUGGGUAGGGGAGCGUUCUGUAAGCCGUUGAAGGUGUGCUGUGAGGCAUGCUGGAGGUAUCAGAAGUGCGAAUGCUGACAUAAGUAACGAUAAAGCGGGUGAAAAGCCCGCUCGCCGGAAGACCAAGGGUUCCUGUCCAACGUUAAUCGGGGCAGGGUGAGUCGACCCCUAAGGCGAGGCCGAAAGGCGUAGUCGAUGGGAAACAGGUUAAUAUUCCUGUACUUGGUGUUACUGCGAAGGGGGGACGGAGAAGGCUAUGUCAGCCGGGCGACGGUUGUCCCGGUUUAAGCAUGUAGGCGGAGGUUCCAGGUAAAUCCGGUACCUUGUUAACGCUGAGGUGUGAUGACGAGGCACUACGGUGCUGAAGUGAUAAAUGCCCUGCUUCCAGGAAAAGCCUCUAAGCAUCAGGUAACACGAAAUCGUACCCCAAACCGACACAGGUGGUCAGGUAGAGAAUACCAAGGCGCUUGAGAGAACUCGGGUGAAGGAACUAGGCAAAAUGGUGCCGUAACUUCGGGAGAAGGCACGCUGAUAUGUAGGUGAAGCCCCUGCGGGCGGAGCUGAAAUCAGUCGAAGAUACCAGCUGGCUGCAACUGUUUAUUAAAAACACAGCACUGUGCAAACACGAAAGUGGACGUAUACGGUGUGACGCCUGCCCGGUGCCGGAAGGUUAAUUGAUGGGGUUAGCGGCAACGCGAAGCUCUUGAUCGAAGCCCCGGUAAACGGCGGCCGUAACUAUAACGGUCCUAAGGUAGCGAAAUUCCUUGUCGGGUAAGUUCCGACCUGCACGAAUGGCGUAAUGAUGGCCAGGCUGUCUCCACCCGAGACUCAGUGAAAUUGAACUCGCUGUGAAGAUGCAGUGUACCCGCGGCAAGACGGAAAGACCCCGUGAACCUUUACUAUAGCUUGACACUGAACACUGGUCCUUGAUGUGUAGGAUAGGUGGGAGGCUUUGAAGCGUGGACGCCAGUCUGCGUGGAGCCAACCUUGAAAUACCACCCUUUAAUGGCUGGUGUUCUAACGUAGACCCGUAAUCCGGGUUGCGGACAGUGUCUGGUGGGUAGUUUGACUGGGGCGGUCUCCUCCCAAAGAGUAACGGAGGAGCACGAAGGUUGGCUAAUCCUGGUCGGACAUCAGGAGGUUAGUGCAAUGGCAUAAGCCAGCUUGACUGCGAGCGUGACGGCGCGAGCAGGUGCGAAAGCAGGUCAUAGUGAUCCGGUGGUUCUGAAUGGAAGGGCCAUCGCUCAACGGAUAAAAGGUACUCCGGGGAUAACAGGCUGAUACCGCCCAAGAGUUCAUAUCGACGGCGGUGUUUGGCACCUCGAUGUCGGCUCAUCACAUCCUGGGGCUGAAGUAGGUCCCAAGGGUAUGGCUGUUCGCCAUUUAAAGUGGUACGCGAGCUGGGUUUAGAACGUCGUGAGACAGUUCGGUCCCUAUCUGCCGUGGGCGCUGGAGAAUUGAGGGGGGCUGCUCCUAGUACGAGAGGACCGGAGUGGACGCAUCACUGGUGUUCGGGUUGUCAUGCCAAUGGCACUGCCCGGUAGCUAAAUGCGGAAGAGAUAAGUGCUGAAAGCAUCUAAGCACGAAACUUGCCCC